Molecule: ribosomal RNA, 253 nt
Filed under: uncultured bacterium
Lineage: Bacteria
Description: partial 16S ribosomal RNA
Rfam family: Bacterial small subunit ribosomal RNA
Source: RNAcentral
UACGGGGGGGGCAAGCGUUGUUCGGAAUUACUGGGCGUAAAGGGCUCGUAGGUGGCCAACUAAGUCAGACGUGAAAUCCCCAGGCUUAACCUGGGAACUGCGUCUGAUACUGGAUGGCUUGAAUCCGGGAGAGGGAUGUGGAAUUCCAGGUGUAGCGGUGAAAUGCGUAGAUAUCUGGAGGAACACCGGUGGCGAAGGCGGCAUCCUGGACCGGUAUUGACGCUGAGGCGCGAAAGCCAGGGGAGCAAACGGG